This 85-nucleotide transfer RNA is filed under the name Felis catus (domestic cat). It matches the Rfam family "tRNA". From Rfam's summary of the family: Transfer RNA (tRNA) molecules are approximately 80 nucleotides in length. Their secondary structure includes four short double-helical elements and three loops (D, anti-codon, and T loops). RNAcentral also lists the same sequence under 2 other names. The record is from Rfam by way of RNAcentral. Lineage: Eukaryota; Metazoa; Chordata; Mammalia; Carnivora; Felidae.
GCCUGGGUGGCUCAGUCGGUUGAGCAUCCGACUUUGGCUCAGGUCAUGAUCUCACAGUUUGUGGGUUCAAGCCCCGCAUCAGGCU